CUGGCGCGCGCUCACUGACCGAUCAACGAGUUUGUCCUGGUCCGAUAGGAUUGGGUAAUCUUCUGAAAUCGUGUCGUGAUGGGGAUAGAUCAUUGCAAUUAUUGAUCUUCAACGAGGAAUUCCUAGUAAGUGCAAGUCAUCAGCUUGCGCUGAUUAUGU
RNAcentral lists this ribosomal RNA (159 nucleotides) under uncultured dinoflagellate. Its description in RNAcentral is "partial 18S ribosomal RNA". It matches the Rfam family "Eukaryotic small subunit ribosomal RNA", at positions 1487 to 1650 of the family's 1831-position model. Lineage: Eukaryota; Dinophyceae. The record is from RNAcentral.